GCUGGGAGUUGUAGUUUUGCAACAGCUGGAAGCACACUGGUUGGAAAAUACUGAGUUAGGUAACAUCUCCCUGACGAAGGAAGCUGUGCUUCUGAAACGCGUUGAAGGUAUCUUGGAUCUAAUCCUGUAACGUAGUGACGUCACGACAUCGGUCUCCAGCAAACCGCGAACCGGGGCUACCACGGUAGAGAACGCCACCGGCCGGGCGUACUCCCGCAAUCCCCAACUAGGAUCUUUGGUAAAAGGAUGCGCACUCUCCGCAACAUCUCAGAACAAGAGGAAGUGCGGGCAUCACCGCCAAGAAAAACAAUCACACAAAAACGCAAGUAAAAUAUUUAAAGUGAUUGCACUAUAAGUCCAAUAUUCUGCGCACAUCCAUAGGUAUAUGUUUAUAAGUGAACUAGACAUCUAUCCUGUACAUCUCAGUUAGAUCUGCUCGUAUCUAAAUGGACAUUCUUUGACUUGUAGUGCCACCAGCCAAACAACAGGAUUUCACCACCAAUGAUAUACUAAUACAGCUAAAUUCCUGGAACACACUGGAACCCAUAUAAAUAAGCAUACCUACAGGUACAUUCAGUACUGUAUCAUUUAUUUAUUCAUAUCUAUCCCACAUUUUUUCAGUGCACCCUAAAGAACAACUUAAAGAAUAACCCUGCAAACAAUUAUACCACACUUACAGUUUGAUCUUCUUCUUUUAGCCAGCCAAUCAGAAAGCAGCACUACUCAAAUAGAACUCCCGUGAGGUCACACAUGUGAUGUCAUAACCUUUGUCAUCAGUGAGGGGCCUAAACUGUAGGAACUUAGGAAUACAACUUCAUACCCGCCUGUGACUGAUGCACACCUUCCAGGCUGUGGGGCAGCACAUACACGGACACAUUGGCCCAAAUUCUAGAGGUAACCUCCUUUAGUAUGCCCAGAGGAAGGGCAGUACAGUAGCCAUGGAUUCCCUACAGGUUUCCUCCCCUCUGGAGGUUUUUCCUGUCCUGAGUUAGUUACUGUCCGCUCUUUGUGAGUGAUGGAGGUUACAUAAAAUCCCUACACAAACAUUUUUGUAAAUAAUAAAUAAAGUUCCCUUUGUUUAAACUGUU
Long non-coding RNA from Hyla sarda, 1088 nucleotides. RefSeq lists it as uncharacterized. Lineage: Eukaryota; Metazoa; Chordata; Amphibia; Anura; Hylidae. The transcript is spliced from 3 exons. The record is from RefSeq and is a predicted model, not a curated record.